Molecule: ribosomal RNA, 457 nt
Filed under: uncultured bacterium
Lineage: Bacteria
Description: bacterial SSU rRNA
Rfam family: Bacterial small subunit ribosomal RNA
Source: RNAcentral
AAUCAACGCUGGCGGCGUGCCUCAGACAUGCAAGUCGAACGAUUAAAGCUCUCUUCGGAGAGUGUAUAGAGUGGCGCACGGGUGAGUAACACGUAAGUAAUCUACCUUUGAGUGGGGAAUAACCCGGGGAAACCCGAGCUAAUACCGCAUAAUGCAGCGGCACCGCAAGGUGACAGUUGUUAAAGGAGCAAUCCGCUUAAAGAGGAGCUUGCGGCAGAUUAGCUAGUGGUAAGGUAAUGGCUUACCAAGGCUUCGAUCUGUAUCCGGCCUGAGAGGGCGGUCGGACACACUGACACUGAAUAACGGGUCAGACUCCUACGGGAGGCAGCAGUCGGGAAUUUUGGGCAAUGGGCGAAAGCCUGACCCAGCAACGCCGCGUGAAGGAUGAAGUAUUUCGGUAUGUAAACUUCGAAAGAAUGGGAAGAAUCAAUGACGGUACCAUUUAUAAGGUCCGGCU